GGUGAACGCUAGCGGGAGGCUUAACACAUGCAAGUCGAGGGGUAGGGAAGCAAUUCCUGAGACCGGCGGACGGGUGCGUAACGCGUAUGCAACCUGCCUUAUACAGGGGGAUAGCCCAUGGAAACGUGGAUUAACACCCCAUAGGAUUACGGGAUCGCAGGAUUGUGUGAUUAAAACUGAGGUGGUAUAAGAUGGGCAUGCGUCUGAUUAGGUAGUUGGUAGGGUAAUGGCCUACCAAGCCGACGAUCAGUAGGGGUUCUGAGAGGAUUACCCCCCACACUGGUACUGGGACACGGACCAGACUCCUACGGGAGGCAGCAGUGAGGAAUAUUGGUCAAUGGCCGGAAGGCUGAACCAGCCAUCCCGCGUGCAGGAUGACGGCCCUAUGGGUUGUAAACUGCUUUUGUACCUGAAGAAUAGGCCCAACGAGUUGGGAUUUGCCGGUAAGGUAUGAAUAAGCAUCGGCUAACUCCGUGCCAGCAGCCGCGGUAA
RNAcentral lists this ribosomal RNA (492 nucleotides) under uncultured bacterium. Its description in RNAcentral is "partial 16S ribosomal RNA". It matches the Rfam family "Bacterial small subunit ribosomal RNA", at positions 28 to 523 of the family's 1533-position model. The record is from RNAcentral.